GCCAAUUAUACCAUCAAGUAGUUUAGGGUCAAGUGAGGAUGCUGGCCAUAGGAACUUCCAUUUUCCGCACAACUACUUAUUGUUUUCUAAGAGUGAGAAGUCACUAUUAGCUGACUAUCCAUUAGCCACUUUGCCACUUUCUUCCUUCCUAAUAGAACCAUGAUUUUCUUUCUUCUGGCAUUUGUAUACCGUAUGCUUCAGGGGCCCUCACAAACCUCCAGGGUAAAGGUUUUGAUUAGUCUACAGUCGAGCUGGUAGAUACAACCCCUUGGUCAGUGACUAGUUUAGGCAUGGAUAUGUGACAUAAUCCUGGCCAAUGAGAAGUAAAGAGAAGCCUGCUAGGGGAUUUCUUGGAAAGUUUCUUGCAUUAAAAGAGCAGACAGAGCAAGUCAGAGACUCACCUCUUUUCUGCUUCUAGGAAGGCUAAUGGAAAGAGGUGAUGCCUAGAAGAGCUUCAGCAUCAUGUAACAAUGGCGUGGAUGAGAUGACAGAAUAGAAAGACGGAAAGAACCUGGGAUCUUGAAGGGUUACUGUGUCCCCCGGCUUAAGCAAUCAUCUUAAGUGUCAGGCACUCCUGCUGACCUUUGGAUGUGCAGCUCCCUCUAUCCUUCUAGAAACUUGGAGAAGUGCUUGCUUUGCACCUUGUACAACACCUCCACCGUGGCUGAAAUGCGGAGAUGGAUGAGGAAACCUUGAUUACUGGAUGAUCCUGUGGAACACAGCUUCCCACCCAGACCAGCAGCUCACCUAGUUUAAUUAUGCUGCAUGAGAAUGAAACAAACUUCUGCUAUGCAUGGCGAAGGUGAUCAUAUAAGUCUUAAGCUAUUUUCCAGGUAUUCCAUCCAGAAAAACACUGUGGGAUUUACCAGUGGGUAUGGGAACUCGGGAAUCAUGCCAGAAGGCAUGUCCCACAGCAGGCACUGCACAGUGUGUGGCCCCUGCAGGAUCCCAUGAAGGACUCACUUGGAGCCCAUCGGGGACUCAGCAUUUAGAGUUUUGCCAGGCGUGGGUACUGACUUCCAAGGAAGCAGGGACCAAGCACCACUUAAAUAGAAGAAUUUUGCUUUCCUCCCAUGACAGAGAGAAUGGAAGAAAAGCAGAAGAGAGAAGCACACUCCCUUCUAGUGGACAGUGAGUCUCCUGAGUUAGGAGGAAGAUAACUCAGUUGGACAUAAGUUUGAACCUUUAAGCCAGAUCAAGUAUAUUAUAUUACAUUCUUUAAUAUCUGAAAAUGACUGUAAAGUUUUACCUAAGAUGUCAGUUAGGGGAGGGCAAGUGAGACUCAGCAGAGGUUCUUUAGGGGCAGCCACUGGAAGAAAUAAUAUUGUUUAUGUUUGAACUCUACUGAGUUUAGGCCAUUCAAUAAACUGGUUGCAAACUGAAAAAAACAACACACAAAAAUGUUGGAAUUGUAAGUCUAACCCUGCUCCUGGCCUAAUUUGGCGGUGGCCCUCUUCCCUAGGAAAAGAACAGUUUAAAAAGGGGAAAGGGAGAAAGGUGAAGUGGUAAGAGGUGGGGGUGAAUGCUGGAGAUCUAGACUUAGAGCCCAAGAGGCGUGAGAGCCAGGGGCAGAUGGGCAUCACCCGGGGCACAUGGCAAAACCCUGCAGGGUAUAGAGGGUAAUUGCGUCUCCACCACCCAGCAUGUUUCCAUCUGUGUGAGAGAAGCUCAUUGAGAGUAAUGCUGUUGGCCUCUUUCUGCCCCUUUAUUCACACCUUCCCAGGACAGGUGGAAAAACUUAACUGAUUGGUAUUUUGGGGAAAAAUAAACAGCACCAUCAGCUCAAUUCCUUGAUCCCUUCUGAGAGCUGCCCCGGGGUCCAGGCAUUCUACUCGAACUCUGCCUACAAGUGGCUUGGGAAACUGACUCCACCUGGGAUACCUGCAUGGGGACAGUGGUCCCUAGGACGAGGUAGCAAAGGAAAGGAUUAGCAUUACUGGGCCCUCCAGUCCACUCCGCAGGGCAUUGAUGUGGCUGAGUGGGAAAACAGCACACCCUAGACCCAGACACAGCAGCUAGAGGACAGGGAAAGGAGAGAUGAUUGGAAAGUGGCCCAAAUUAUAUGUGAGACAUCCCAGCCCCACCUGGAACCUCCAGAGACGUGCAAAACAAGAAAGUCUGAAUAAGCCACGUGUCAGGUGAGGACUGGCAUUAGAGCAGAUUUAGGGGCUGUGGGGAAGUUGGGGUUCCUGUGGCCAGGAUCCUCACUGAAUUUAAACCACCUGAUGAUGUAACUGGCCUGUUGCUAGGCUCCUGCUUCCACACCUUUAGGCAAUAAACUAUUUAUUGCGCUAUAUAGAGAGCUCGCCCAGUGCUAUGGGUGGAGGCAGAGAUGCUAGCGCUCCACCUACCAUUGAGAAAACAAGCUGGGUUAUAAACCCUUUCACCCCAAAGAACAUUCUACUGUCAUUUCUUUGGUCACACUGAAUCCAUAGUGAACUUGCCUGGACUGAAACCCCUUGGCAAGACAGGGGCAAACCAUAAAGCGACUUAUCCCUGCUUCUUUCAACUAUGGCAAUGAAGGGACAGUAAGGCUGUAAUAAUCAACUAAUACUUGAAAGACCUCCUGCUAUGUAAAUACUACUAUUACAGGGGUUUUGUGAAACUUAGGGGAGAAGCAGCCUAACAUCUAAAUAAAAUACGAUUUAGUGAAAUGUCAGCUUUUCUUUCUGUCAUGGGAGGAAAAAAAAAAAAACCCAGAUUUUCUCAGAAGUUUCCACUCAAAUUCUUCCCAGUUUUACCCCUCCUGGUUUUAUUGAUUCUUCAGCUUGGUGGAGAAGGUAUGAAAUUAGAUAAGCUUAAAGGAACCAGCCAGUGAGAUUCAACUGCACUACUCAAAUCCCAGCGAAGGACUAAAGAUUCUUAGGGUGCAGGGUUUGAAGAUGCUCAUUUCAAACCAGUUUUUAAAAAGUAGAGGUGUAGCUACAUUUCACCACUCCUACCAGGCUUCUUUUUUUUUUUCUGGAGAAAAUUCUGAAUUCAGCACAGUUUUUCUGCUAUGUAAGUGUUUCAUAAUGAUAUUCGUUCAUACAAGUUCUUAUUAUAACACAGCCAACAAGGGCCAGAUUGGUCGUGGUUGAGUCAUACCUGCCAUUUUGUGGGCUACAUCUUUGUAAAUAAGUUGGGUCAUUGCCUUAAUUGGGGUCAUGUUGGAGUGGGGGCGGUGCACCGGGUCAGUCAGUCCUUUUCACCCGUGUGGUUCUUUCGGCGUCCUGGGCGCCAAGUGCAGCAAGCCAGAGGAGGCCGGAGCACAGAUUUGCUGUGGGAAAAGCAGCAGGCUCCCAAAGCGUCUGAUAUUGUAGAUGACUCAGUGUGUUGACAAUAAUUUUUCUUAAACUUGGCGUCAUUCUCUUCCCUUAGAAGUUGAGAAUACUAACCUCAGGGCAGACAGGCUGAAGGACCGGAAAUGGCUUUGGAACCGGGAAGUUCUAUGCGCAGAGCAGAGCUCUGCCACUCAGCUCGCAGUAACACUGAGCAGUCAUUAGCCCUUCUGGGUCUCGGGUUUCUCAUCUGAGAAUGGGAUAAGAAUACUUCAACCA
This is a long non-coding RNA of Manis javanica (Malayan pangolin), 3539 nucleotides long. RefSeq lists it as uncharacterized. Lineage: Eukaryota; Metazoa; Chordata; Mammalia; Pholidota; Manidae. The record is from RefSeq and is a predicted model, not a curated record.